This 71-nucleotide transfer RNA is filed under the name Pyrrhula pyrrhula (Eurasian bullfinch). Its description in RNAcentral is "tRNA-Gln". It matches the Rfam family "tRNA". Rfam says of the family: Transfer RNA (tRNA) molecules are approximately 80 nucleotides in length. Their secondary structure includes four short double-helical elements and three loops (D, anti-codon, and T loops). The record is from RNAcentral. Lineage: Eukaryota; Metazoa; Chordata; Aves; Passeriformes; Fringillidae.
UAGAAAGUAAUAUAAGGGAAGUAUGGAGGAUUUUGAUUUCUCUAGUACAGGUUCGAUUCCUGUUUUUCUAA